This is a non-coding RNA of Phrynosoma platyrhinos (Desert horned lizard), 73 nucleotides long. The record is from the annotation of a GenBank genome assembly. Lineage: Eukaryota; Metazoa; Chordata; Lepidosauria; Squamata; Phrynosomatidae.
GGCCAUUGUGGUGUAGUGGUUUGAAUGUUGGACUAGGGCACUGAGGGACCAGGUUUGAAUCCUGGCUUGGCCA